Molecule: ribosomal RNA, 542 nt
Filed under: uncultured archaeon
Lineage: Archaea
Description: bacterial SSU rRNA
Rfam family: Archaeal small subunit ribosomal RNA
Source: RNAcentral
GUCAGCCGCCGCGGUAACACCGGCGGCCCGAGUGGUGAUCGUGAUUAUUGGGUCUAAAGGGUCCGUAGCCGGUUUGGUCAGUCCUCCGGGAAAUCUGAUAGCUCAACUAUUAGGCUUUCGGGGGAUACUGCCAGACUUGGAACCGGGAGAGGUAAGAGGUACUACAGGGGUAGGAGUGAAAUCUUGUAAUCCCUGUGGGACCACCUGUGGCGAAGGCGUCUUACCAGAACGGGUUCGACGGUGAGGGACGAAAGCUGGGGGCACGAACCGGAUUAGAUACCCGGGUAGUCCCAGCCGUAAACGAUGCUCGCUAGGUGUCAGGCGUGGCGCGACCGUGUCUGGUGCCGCAGGGAAGCCGUGAAGCGAGCCACCUGGGAAGUACGGCCGCAAGGCUGAAACUUAAAGGAAUUGGCGGGGGAGCACAACAACGGGUGGAAGCCUGCGGUUUAAUUGGACUCAACGCCGGACAACUCACCGGGGGCGACAGCAAUAUGUAGGCCAAGCUGAAGACUUUGCCUGAAUCGCUGAGGGGUGGUGCAUGG